CCUACGGGUGGCUGCAGUGGGGAAUAUUGGACAAUGGGCGAAAGCCUGAUCCAGCCAUGCCGCGUGUGUGAAGAAGGCCUUCGGGUUGUAAAGCACUUUCAGUGGGGAAGAAGGCCUUGGGGCUAAUACCCUCGAGGAAGGACAUUACUCACAGAAGAAGCACCGGCUAACUCCGUGCCAGCAGCCGCGGUAAUACGGAGGGUGCGAGCGUUAAUCGGAAUUACUGGGCGUAAAGCGCGCGUAGGCGGUCUGAUAAGCCGGUUGUGAAAGCCCCGGGCUCAACCUGGGAACGGCAUCCGGAACUGGCAGGCUAGAGUGCAGUAGAGGAGGGUAGAAUUCCCGGUGUAGCGGUGAAAUGCGUAGAGAUCUGGAGGAAUACCAGUGGCGAAGGCGGCCUUCUGGACUGACACUGACGCUGAGGUGCGAAAGCGUGGGGAGCAAACAGGAUUAGAUACCCCGGUAGUC
Molecule: ribosomal RNA, 465 nt
Filed under: Vreelandella stevensii
Lineage: Bacteria; Pseudomonadati; Pseudomonadota; Gammaproteobacteria; Oceanospirillales; Halomonadaceae
Description: partial 16S ribosomal RNA
Rfam family: Bacterial small subunit ribosomal RNA
Source: RNAcentral